Pelodiscus sinensis (Chinese soft-shelled turtle) is the source of this 631-nucleotide non-coding RNA. The record is from RefSeq and is a predicted model, not a curated record. Lineage: Eukaryota; Metazoa; Chordata; Testudines; Trionychidae.
UGAAGAGGCAGGAAAGGGCCAUGGAUUGGGGACCCACACACUUAAGUGACCCGUUGGGUUCAGAGCAGAUAAGCGUAGGUUUGUUUUCCAUCCUGCUGGCCCCAGGAGAUACCAGAUUAGAAAGGGGGUUGUCAGAGUUUCCUAUUUGUGGCUAUUUGGGAGCUUGGCCUUUUCUCUAGGACAUGAGUCAGGCCCGUUUCAUUGUCUCCUUUCCCUCGAACAGGAAGGAGAGGCAGUGUUUCUAAAAAGUGAAAGCGGAUGUUUUGAUGGCAGCGGAGCAGUGUUUCAUCACAUCAGCUGGGGAGCUGGCCGCUUUGACUCCAAGGAGCAUUCAGUGAGACACCGUUGAUGCCUGUUCAGCUUUGGACCCACUCUCCCCUCAUCCCUGUCUGCAGGACUCCCUCCUGAAGAGUCAUUUCCCGUUUUGUACGCUUGCAGCGGAUUGUCCCUUCCUAACAAAUCCACACACGUGCAAGAAAAAUACGUCGCAAUUCCAGUGAGUCGUCAGGCAACACUUACAGCGUUCGGUUUAGAGGGGAGCCGUCCACCCAGCUCCAGGCUUGGCGGCUCUCGUUCCAGAACUGGCUCUCGUUCGAACCCCAGUAGCACUUGGCUCGGUUCUCCCACCAGU